This 253-nucleotide ribosomal RNA is filed under the name uncultured bacterium. RNAcentral describes it as "partial 16S ribosomal RNA". It matches the Rfam family "Bacterial small subunit ribosomal RNA", at positions 524 to 776 of the family's 1533-position model. The record is from RNAcentral.
UACGGAGGGGGCAAGCGUUAUUCGGAAUCAUUGGGCGUAAAGGGCGCGUAGGCGGAUCUUUAAGUCAGGGGUGAAAUCCCAAGGCUCAACCUUGGAACUGCCUUUGAUACUGGGGAUCUCGAGUCCGGAAGAGGUGAGUGGAACUGCGAGUGUAGAGGUGAAAUUCGUAGAUAUUCGCAAGAACACCAGUGGCGAAGGCGGCUCACUGGUCCGGUACUGACGCUGAGGUGCGAAAGCGUGGGGAGCAAACAGG